CGUGCGGGUGCUAAUACAUGCAAGUCGAGCGGACAGAUGGGAGCUUGCUCCCUGAUGUUAGCGGCGGACGGGUGAGUAACACGUGGGUAACCUGCCUGUAAGACUGGGAUAACUCCGGGAAACCGGGGCUAAUACCGGAUGGUUGUUUGAACCGCAUGGUUCAAACAUAAAAGGUGGCUUCGGCUACCACUUACAGAUGGACCCGCGGCGCAUUAGCUAGUUGGUGAGGUAACGGCUCACCAAGGCAACGAUGCGUAGCCGACCUGAGAGGGUGAUCGGCCACACUGGGACUGAGACACGGCCCAGACUCCUACGGGAGGCAGCAGUAGGGAAUCUUCCGCAAUGGACGAAAGUCUGACGGAGCAACGCCGCGUGAGUGAUGAAGGUUUUCGGAUCGUAAAGCUCUGUUGUUAGGGAAGAACAAGUACCGUUCGAAUAGGGCGGUACCUUGACGGUACCUAACCAGAAAGCCACGGCUAACUACGUGCCAGCAGCCGCGGUAAUACGUAGGUGGCAAGCGUUGUCCGGAAUUAUUGGGCGUAAAGGGCUCGCAGGCGGUUUCUUAAGUCUGAUGUGAAAGCCCCCGGCUCAACCGGGGAGGGUCAUUGGAAACUGGGGAACUUGAGUGCAGAAGAGGAGAGUGGAAUUCCACGUGUAGCGGUGAAAUGCGUAGAGAUGUGGAGGAACACCAGUGGCGAAGGCGACUCUCUGGUCUGUAACUGACGCUGAGGAGCGAAAGCGUGGGGAGCGAACAGGAUUAGAUACCGG
This 768-nucleotide ribosomal RNA is filed under the name Bacillus subtilis. RNAcentral's name for it is "bacterial SSU rRNA". It matches the Rfam family "Bacterial small subunit ribosomal RNA", at positions 36 to 789 of the family's 1533-position model. The record is from RNAcentral. Lineage: Bacteria; Bacillati; Bacillota; Bacilli; Caryophanales; Bacillaceae.